This 497-nucleotide ribosomal RNA is filed under the name uncultured bacterium. RNAcentral describes it as "partial 16S ribosomal RNA". It matches the Rfam family "Bacterial small subunit ribosomal RNA", at positions 28 to 507 of the family's 1533-position model. The record is from RNAcentral.
GAUGAACGCUGGCGGCGUGCCUAAUACAUGCAAGUCGAGCGAACAGACGAGGAGCUUGCUCCUCUGACGUUAGCGGCGGACGGGAGAGUAACGCGUGGAUAACCUACCUAUAAGACUGGGAUAACUUCGGGAAACCGGAGCUAAUACCGGAUAACAUGUUGCACCGCAUGGUUCAACAGUGAAAGACGGUCUUGCUGUCACUUAUAGAUGGAUCCCCGCCGCAUUAGCUAGUUGGUAAGGUAACGGCUUACCAAGGCAACGAUGCGUAGACGACGUGAUAGGGUGAUCGGCCACACGGGAACGGAGACAGGGUCCAGACGCCUACGAGACGCAGCAGUAGGGAAUCUGCCGCAAUGGGCGAAAGCCUGACGGAGCAACGGCGCGCGAGAGAAGAAGGUCUUCGGAUCGUAAUACUCUGUUAAUAGUGAAGAACAAAUGUGGAAGGAACUAUGCACGGCGUGACGGUACCUGAUCAGAAAGCCACGGCUAACUACGUG